AAUCAAGUGGGAUGACAUCUUUGGCAAAUUUGGUUUCGCAGUAAAUACAUUCAAAUAUUAAGACAACACACGACACGAAGAGAAAAACACCAAGAUUUUUUUACUACUAGAAAAUUCAAUAAAAAACAUACACAUUCCUUAAAGAAGCAGUUCAGUCUUGUUGCAAAUAACUAUUUCCUUCACCUUUCUAUUAUGUAGGUUAUUUCAUAUCUUGUUUUAUUAUGUUUUUACCAAAGAAUACUUUUCAAACCGGGCAUCUCUAACCUUCACUCUAAAAAUGGCUGGGUUAUUUUUUAACCCAAAAUGCUGGGUUGAGUCUGUUGGGUUGUUUUGCUGGGUUAAUUUUUAACAUUUUAAACACUUUUUGGGUAGUUUCAGUUUUCUGGUUGUUGGGUUAAAACUGCUGGGUUAUUAUACUGGGUUGUUUGAAGAGGCUCACGUGCUUCGCGCCUUUGAUGUUUGAAUGUGCUCAGCAACGGUCGUCGUGAAAGGACAGAGUCACUGGAAGCAGUUGUUUCAAGAGAGUGCAGAGUUUUUAUGUCCAUCCAUUAAUGAGGCUAGCAAGGCCUUCAUACAACUUCAGCCAAUUGCAACAAAUGUGGUGGAAGUUCUUCUCUGGACAGAAUCCUCGAAAUCCUUUCCUUUAUUUCCUGGCCAUGGGAAACAUGCAACAGAUCUCUCAAUCUUUUUUGUCUAUCAGUCUCUCUGAUGGAGCCAAUACGGAAGUGACUUAAACUGCAAUUCGGCCAAGAUGGCGACGGCACGCACCGCCUACUUUAGGCUUCAAAAAUGCUCUUCACAACCAAUGGGUGACAUCACGGACACUACUUUCAUAUUUUUUUACAGUCUAUGGUUUAAAGGCAUUUUACGUGCUUGAAAAUAAAUACCCCAGGCAAUGUGCAUCUACUGUAGUCUGUCAUUUUCCAAAUGGAUGAAUCCUCUGCUGUUCGGUUCCUUUGUACAUCUUUGUUCGUGAGGAGUAACUUUAAUAAAUGAAGUAUUUUUAGUCAAAUACAUUCCAUACUCUGAAACUUGGAACAUCUGUUCUGUAAAAAACUUUACACAUCUGUAAAUGAUUUUACUUUUAAUUUAACAAUUACAUUGUUUAUUUUCUUACACUGCUGCAGUUUUAUUUAUGUACAUUUCAGUAUUUCAUUUAUAUAUUGUAUAUACUUAUAUACAAAUUCUGUCUUAAAUUUAAACAAGUUGAUUUAACCUGUUACAUUGUUACUUCAAUGUGCAUCAUUUCUGAUAUUUAAUAAAUAUAUUUAUACUUGAUGUCAGUAAGCAGCAGUCCUUUAAAUGAUUCUGCAACUGCCAACUGUAAAAAUUUAAGAGUUUGUAGUUAUUU
Molecule: non-coding RNA, 1351 nt
Organism: Paramisgurnus dabryanus
Lineage: Eukaryota; Metazoa; Chordata; Actinopteri; Cypriniformes; Cobitidae
Source: RefSeq, a predicted model, not a curated record